Phrynosoma platyrhinos (Desert horned lizard) is the source of this 72-nucleotide non-coding RNA. The record is from the annotation of a GenBank genome assembly. NCBI's taxonomy places the organism in Eukaryota, Metazoa, Chordata, Lepidosauria, Squamata, Phrynosomatidae.
GCCAGUGUGGUGUAGUGGGUUGAGCACUGGAGUACAACUCCAGCAACCAGGGUUCAAAUCUCUGCUUGGACA